This 497-nucleotide ribosomal RNA is filed under the name uncultured bacterium. RNAcentral's name for it is "partial 16S ribosomal RNA". It matches the Rfam family "Bacterial small subunit ribosomal RNA", at positions 28 to 507 of the family's 1533-position model. The record is from RNAcentral.
GAUGAACGCUGGCGGCGUGCCUAAUACAUGCAAGUCGAGCGACCGGACGAUAAGCUUGUUUCUCUGAUGUUAGCGGCGGACGGGUGAGUGACACGUGGAUAACCUUCUUAUAAGACUGGGAUAACUUCGGGAAACCGGAGCUAAUACUGGAUAAUAUUUUGAACCGCAUGGUUCAAAAGAGAAAGACGGUCUUGCUGUCUCUUAUAGAUGGAUCCGCGCUGCAUUAGCUAGUUGGUAAGGUAACGGCUCACCAAGGCAACGAUGCGUAGCCGACCUGAGAGGGUGAUCAGCCACACUGGAACUGAGACACGGUCCAGACUCCUACGGGAGGCAGCAGUAGGGAAUAUUGGGCAAUGGGCGAAAGCCUGACGGAGCAACGCCGCGUGAGUGAUGAAGGUCUUCGGAUCGUAAAACCCUGUUAUUAGGGAAGAACAUCUGUGUAAGUAACUGUGCACAUCUUGACGGUACCUAAUCAGAAAGCAACGGCUAACUACGUG